AGCGAACGCUGGCGGCAGGCUUAACACAUGCCAGUCGAGCGGGCACUUCGGUGUCAGCGGCAGACGGGUGAGUAACACGUGGGAACGUACCCUUUGGUUCGGAAUAACGCUGGGAAACUAGCGCUAAUACCGGAUACGCCCUUUUGGGGAAAGGCUUGCUGCCGAAGGAUCGGCCCGCGUCUGAUUAGCUAGUUGGUGGGGUAAUGGCCUACCAAGGCGACGAUCAGUAGCUGGUCUGAGAGGAUGAUCAGCCACACUGGGACUGAGACACGGCCCAGACUCCUACGGGAGGCAGCAGUGGGGAAUAUUGGACAAUGGGCGCAAGCCUGAUCCAGCCAUGCCGCGUGAGUGAUGAAGGCCUUAGGGUUGUAAAGCUCUUUUGUCCGGGACGAUAAUAACGGAACCGGAAGAAUAAGCCCCGGCUAACUUCGUG
Molecule: ribosomal RNA, 433 nt
Filed under: uncultured bacterium
Lineage: Bacteria
Description: partial 16S ribosomal RNA
Rfam family: Bacterial small subunit ribosomal RNA
Source: RNAcentral